UGGGGAGUGGCCAAGCUGGUAAGGCGCCUGAUUCUGGAUCAGGUAAUCGUAGGUUCGAAUCCUACCUCCCCAGCCA
RNAcentral lists this transfer RNA (76 nucleotides) under Chloroflexota bacterium. RNAcentral's name for it is "Chloroflexi bacterium tRNA-Gln". It matches the Rfam family "tRNA". Rfam says of the family: Transfer RNA (tRNA) molecules are approximately 80 nucleotides in length. Their secondary structure includes four short double-helical elements and three loops (D, anti-codon, and T loops). RNAcentral also lists the same sequence under 1 other name. Lineage: Bacteria; Bacillati; Chloroflexota. The record is from RNAcentral.